UGGGGAAUAUUGCACAAUGGGGGAAACCCUGAUGCAGCGACGCCGCGUGAACGAAGAAGGUAUUCGUAUCGUAAAGUUCUGUCCUAUGGGAAGAUAAUGACAGUACCAUAGAAGAAAGCUCCGGCUAAAUACGUGCCAGCAGCCGCGGUAAUACGUAUGGAGCGAGCGUUGUCCGGAAUUAUUGGGCGUAAAGGGUACGCAGGCGGUUUAAUAAGUCGAAUGUUAAAGAUCGGGGCUCAACCCCGCAAAGCAGUGGAAACUGAUAAACUUGAGUAGUGGAGAGGAAAGUGGAAUUCCUAGUGUAGUGGUGAAAUACGUAGAUAUUAGGAGGAAUACCAGUAGCGAAGGCGACUUUCUAGACACAAACUGACGCUGAGGUACGAAAGCGUGGGGAGCAAACAGG
This 403-nucleotide ribosomal RNA is filed under the name bacterium. Its description in RNAcentral is "partial 16S ribosomal RNA". It matches the Rfam family "Bacterial small subunit ribosomal RNA", at positions 355 to 776 of the family's 1533-position model. The record is from RNAcentral.